GAUGAAGAACGUAGUGAAAUGCGAUAAGUAAUGUGAAUUGCAGAAUUCAGUGAAUCAUCGAAUCUUUGAACGCACCUUGCGCUCCUUGGUAUUCCGAGGAGCAUGCCUGUUUGAGUGUCAUUAAUAUAUCAACCUUCACUUGUUGAAUGGUUUGGAUGUGGGGGUUUGCUGGUCUCUUAAAGGGUUCAGCUCCUCUAAAAUGCAUUAGCAGAACAAUCUGUUCAUUGGUGUGAUAACUAUCUACGCUCUUGAAUAAGAUGCAGUUCAGCUUUCUAACUGUCCUCGGACAAUUUAUCAUUUAUGUGACCUCAAAUCAGGUAGGACUACCCGCUGAACUUAAGCAUAUCAAUAAGCGGAGGA
Molecule: unclassified non-coding RNA, 360 nt
Filed under: soil metagenome
Description: partial contains 5.8S ribosomal RNA, internal transcribed spacer 2, and large subunit ribosomal RNA
Rfam family: 5.8S ribosomal RNA (bases 1-120)
Source: RNAcentral